UGAUUGAUAACGGCAUGUCUA
This 21-nucleotide non-coding RNA is filed under the name Arabidopsis thaliana (thale cress). Lineage: Eukaryota; Viridiplantae; Streptophyta; Magnoliopsida; Brassicales; Brassicaceae. The record is from RNAcentral.